AUUGAACGCUGGCGGCAUGCCUUACACAUGCAAGUCGAACGGUAACAGGUUAAGCUGACGAGUGGCGAACGGGUGAGUAAUAUAUCGGAACGUGCCCAGUCGUGGGGGAUAACGUAGCGAAAGCUACGCUAACACCGCAUACGAUCUACGGAUGAAAGCGGGGGAUCGCAAGACCUCGCGCGAUUGGAGCGGCGGAUAUCAGAUUAGGUUGUUGGUGAGGUAAAAGCUCACCAAGCCUGCGAUCUGUAGCUGGUCUGGGAGGACGACCAGCCACACUGGAACUGAGACACGGUCCAGACUCCUACGGGAGGCAGCAGUGGGGAAUUUUGGACAAUGGACGCAAGUCUGAUCCAGCAAUGCCGCGUGCAGGACGAAGGCCUUCGGGUUGUAAACUGCUUUUGUACGGAACGAAACGGUGAGCUCUACUACGGUUUGCUAAUGACGGUACCGUAAGAAUAAGCACCGGCUAACUACGUGCCAGCAGCCGCCGUAA
Molecule: ribosomal RNA, 493 nt
Filed under: uncultured bacterium
Lineage: Bacteria
Description: partial 16S ribosomal RNA
Rfam family: Bacterial small subunit ribosomal RNA
Source: RNAcentral